This 699-nucleotide ribosomal RNA is filed under the name Rogersiomyces malaysianus. RNAcentral describes it as "eukaryotic LSU rRNA". It matches the Rfam family "Eukaryotic large subunit ribosomal RNA", at positions 88 to 800 of the family's 3401-position model. Lineage: Eukaryota; Fungi; Basidiomycota; Agaricomycetes. The record is from RNAcentral.
GGCGAGUGAGCGGGAAAGCUCAAAUUUAAAAUCUGGCAGUCUUUGGCUGUCCGAGUUGUAAUCUAGAGAAGCGUUUUCCGCGCUGGACUGUACACAAGUUUCCUGGAUACGGAACAUCAUAGAGGGUGAGAAUCCCGUCCUUGGUACAGACUCCCAGUGCUCUGUGAUGCGCUUUCCACGAGUCGAGUUGUUUGGGAUUGCAGCUCAAAAUGGGAGGUAAAUUCCUUCUAAAGCUAAAUAUUGGCGAGAGACCGAUAGCGAACAAGUACCGUGAGGGAAAGAUGAAAAGCACUUUGGAAAGAGAGUUAAACAGUACGUGAAAUUGUUAAAAGGGAAACGCUUGAAGUCAGUCGCGUCUGCUUGGACUCAGCCUUGCCUCGGCUUGGUGCAUUUCCUGCAGACGGGCCAACGUCCAUGUCUUGCGCCGGAAAAGGGGUGAGGGAAUGUGGCUCCUCCGGGAGUGUUAUAGCCUUUGCUCGUAUACGACGCGAGAUAUGGAGUGGAACAGCAUGCUUCGGUGGUGCUUGUGUUGGCAUAAUGGCUUUAAACGACCCGUCUUGAAACACGGACCAAGGAGUCUAACAUGUCUGCGAGUGUUUGGGUGGAAAACCCGAGCGCGAAAUGAAAGUGAUAGCUGGGAAUCCCUUUGGGAGGCACCGGCGCCCCGAGCUGACCUUCUGUGACGCAUCGGAGGUAGAG